GGUGCUGUUUUAAGUAUGCCAAAAGAAACCAAGAAGUAUUUUAAAGUCUUUCCUUCUGAUGGCAAAACAGUAACACUUACCAAAGGGUACUCCACGACACACAAAAAAUAAAAGCUUCAGAUGAAACUUAAUUAUGGUCUGUCCCAUUAUUGCUCAUUAAUUCUGAACUGAAGUCAAAGAUAUCAGCACAAAUCACUGACUUUUAAUCCACAUACAUUACAGAAGUGACUGCCUACUGCCUUUUAUAGAUUUUAUGAAGACCAUUUUCAAGGGCAUCUCUUCAUCUUCUAGUAGGAAUGGAUUUGACAAUCCUGUGAUAAUUUUAAAGACUGCCAUAUAAUCUGUUUAAGAGAGGCUAAAAAUAGAAAGGCCAGAUCAUGUAAUAAAGUUUUAGACAGAAUUCCCCACAAUUUCAAUAAGAAGUUAUGCUUAAAUUUUGAUCUCAUUAACUUCAUUUAAAUGCAGCGUUUCCCACAGAUGUCACCAUUAUCCAAAAUUUGUAGGUUUUACUUCUAGGUUUCUGAAGGAAAACAGGCUCACGUAGGGAACACAGAGCUAUAGCACUGGAAGGAAUAUUGAGGGAGCCAAUUCAGCUCACAUGACCAGCAAGACAAAGCCAACGGCACUGAGAGGAAGGCCAGACUUGCGGUUAUGACUGAUCUCAGUUCAGCUCAGUUCUUGGCUCUGCCACAGACUUCCUGUAUAAUUUCAAGCAAGGCGUAGUAUUUCUUUGCCUCUCUUCCCAUGUAUAAAAUAGAAAUAUUAUACUUCCUUUCUUCCAUCCUUCGACUAUCACAUAAAAUCUUCAGUGCAGGCUGCCUCUGUGUUUGCGUGCACCAGGCUCAAAUCCCGGGUGGAGCUUUAUCACAUUAAAAUAAGCAGAAGCUGGAGCCUGCACAUACCAAGGAGCUUUCCCAUUGCCCUACUCUAUUCAAAACAUCAGAUCUUGCAUUGUGUAGGAACGAAGCGUCUGCCCAAGAAACUGCCUCAUUUUGCCAAGUACAGGAGCACUAAAAGCAGUUUUUCCUUUGCAAGGAAAACAAAAAGUGAACGACUGUUGGUUUGUGAGAGGAGGAACAGAAGUUCGGAAAGUUUAAGUGUUUUGCCCAAAAGAGAGGGCACAGAUUUGGAAACAAAAGUCAGUUCUCCUGCAGCCUUGGCAACCACUCUGGGUGGUAGGUCCCAGUGCCAAUAAAAUUAUGACCAAAUACAACAUUUACAGUUUUAAAGGGCUUGCAGGUAGAAAAGUAUUUCAAGCAAGAAGAGGGUUCCAAAUAUAACAUAGAUCUUUCUGGAUAAUAAAGUGGUUAGAUUAUGUUUAAUUUAACACUUCUUUGUUAGCCCAAGCCCUGCCACACAAAAUAACAUACACUGAUUAUUGGCAAUUGCAUGUGCUUCAACUGCAUAUGUAUCAAUCCACUGUGAUCACCCUGUGAUCUCUUAUUUUCUUCUUUUUAUUGACUUCAGAGCUGAAUCUAAAGCAUCUUCUUGAUAAAACAUUCUUAUGCUACAGCAUCAACAAAGUUUCUGCUUCAUAAAACUGUAUCCCACCUUAGCUUGAGGCUUUUUUUUUUUCAACCUGGUAAUGGUAAACAGUGUUUAAAUAUUUCAGAACAGAGAAUAUAUAUGCAAUCUCUUUAAACCCCGGGGCUGUUGCUAUUUAUGUAUUACGGUACUAAGCCAGGCAAAAUUAGAAGGCAAUAUUUAAUCUCUAAUUGGUGAGUUCAAAAGGCUCCCACCUAUGAGACUCUCUAAUUAAAUAAGGUGACUUCUAGCUCACUCGGUUUUGUGUAAGGAUUCUCCCUCCCUCAAAGAGCCAACAAUCAUUCAUGCAAAGUACGGCAGCAUAUCCCACAGAGGGCCUAACAAAAUGAUCAGAUGUUCAAACCCUGAGUUCCAGAAGCGAAGAACAAAUGCAGCCCAGAGCGCUGUCUCACUGGUUGCCCUGCUUUUACCUUCCAGAUGGACUAACUAAUUGCAUGAAGAGCUUCGUAGCUUAUUUAAAGUAUUCCUCCUAUGCUGCUUUCUUUUGUAGGUGAGAUCCUUAGGAGUGCCACUUAGAACUUAAAACCACAUGAACUAGAAGUUGCUGGAAUUCGUAGACCUUGGACAUCUGCCUUUUAGGCAAUGGGCAUUUCCAUCUGAAGGAGUUAGAGGUUGUUAUUACCAAACCAUUCCAAAGCUCCAAACCAGGUUUAUAAAUUCUGAGAAACACAACACCUGCCACUCCAUCUCACGGAGCUUUUUGAAAUCUACAUUAGGAAGAAAUGCCUAACAAACCCCCUUAGUUGAAGCCUCUACAUUCAUCAUCUGCUCAGUAGACAAAUCUCCUGUUUGUAAGGUAAGAACAAUAUGGGAAAACUGGAGGUAAACCAGACACACACAGCAAACAUUACCUGUUUUCUGAUGCUGCAGCAACAUUUUCCUUGUCUCUGUGAAAGGAGGGGAUACAGUAUGAAUAAAGUAAAUGCAAUUGCCAGUGGCAGGGAAAAAACCCAACCAAACAACAAGCCCAAAACAGGGGGAAAAAAAAAUGGUGUGAAGAGAAAUGUUUGGUUGCAAAAAGCAUCCUAGAGUGGUUGCUCAGAAGUAUAGUUAUGAGAAAUCUCUUCAGCUCCCCAAGUGAAACCCAAAUAUGCAAGUUGACUGUACGCUUCUCAGUUGCAAACAAUUUUGUUUCAAUAUUAAAGUAAAACAAAGGACAACUAACAGUUACAAACUGGACAACGUAUGUACAUAUAUAAUGUCAGCCAUAGUCCCUCAUAAAAGAAAAUUUCAAGAAUAUUCCAGUUGGAACACGCCAACUCCAAGUGGUAAAAAUAAUCAGACUUGGGCAGUCCUCAAGGAUCCAAUAUUUUGAAGUGAUAAGCAGUUAAAUGGUUAGCAAAGACUCAUACAAGAUGGAUUGUAUAUAUGUCUGGCAUCCCUCAAAAAUUCUCUGUCCUACCCAAGUAAGUACUAGUUUUCUCAAUCUAAAUCGGAUUAGAAACAAAUGAAAUCAUUCCUUCACUGAGGUGAGGAGUAAGGCAGCCUCAGUUUCAGUGAUACAGAAUUAGGCUGUUACUCUGUAAAAACACAUGCACACUUACAAAAAUUACUGAUCAUUUUAAGUGCAAGCAACUGUAUAUCUGUAAGAAGCUAAGACAUAGGUAUUUCACAAAGAAUAGAAUUCUUUGGCCUUAGAUUCCUAAGUUUGAAAUCCAUUUAAGUUAAAUGAUCAAGAUACUCUCAAUGUUUAGCAAGUAAGUGGGUGUUUGUGUCCUUUCGUAAUUGUGCUUGAAUUGCAACACAUUUCAAGUCAAAAUAUGCCAAAUGAGAACAUUUCACUUAAUUGGGAUCUAAAAUUACAAAACACAAAGCAAAUGUCCUAAUUUAGCCAAUUGAACCUUCUUUUUUGAAAAGUCCUUUGCAAAAAAGGAAUAUAUAUGUAUUUAUGUGGAUUUACUGGGCUCCAGUCAUUACCUUGGACUAUGUCUGAAAGGCUAUUCUUAAUAUUUUCCAUAUUAUUAGUAGUAUUUAAUAUAUUUAUCUAUAUUUAUGUACAUAUGUACAGUCACAUACUCUCUCCUUAGUUUAGCUCCAAGAAAGUUAUAAAAACCAGUCCAGUUUACAUCAGCAAAGGUUUGGGCAUAGGUGUAACUCUACCAAUUUUCAAAACCUCUAGCUAAAAUGUAACCUGUAAAAUACAUGAAUUGAAGCCAGAUUUUCAAACACAAAAGAAGAUCUGGAGUGACCCUCAGAUGUAGCUGCAUGACUAAGAACGUCAGUAUGGUCAGAAUGGAACAACCCAUCUCAAAAGUAAAUACCCCAAUAAGAUCAAUUGAUUCACCACUCUGAAGCAAUAAGUAACCAAACACUAUGGUAACCAAGCCGUGAGUUCACUGGAACUUCAGGUACAGGAAAGCCAGGAUGAAACAAGGUAGAGGAGGCUGGAUUAGGAACUGUGUGUGUGUGGGAGGGAAGCAUUAGUACACCAAGAGCCAUAUCCAUGCAAGGAUGUUAAAAAACACAGUCACGGCCUGGAAAGAAUAAAGCAUUGUUUAUUUCCAGUGUCACCAAAUAUUGUAUGAGAAAUUACAGCCAAGACCAAAAGGCAGGCAGUUGGGCUCAGGCAGAAGCAGCGUUAGGCCUCUGUUGUUACUAUUAAUCUGAUCCAAACUUUUCCGCUCCACUAGCUGUGGCUACACAGAAGAAUGCAGAAAAAUGGCAUUUGACUUGGAGUUCAGGAUUUCACACAAGUUUUUUCCAUGAGCGUACAAGUAUAGGAAAACGUUGAGUGACGACUGCAGGGGAGUUGUGAAGGUUAAAACGAGAGAAGUAUAGUAAACAUACUUCCACAGAAUAAAGCAAAGGAAAACAGAGAGAGUAAAGGGAACGAUGAACUCAAAGGCACACAGGACUUCUUUGUGGGUUUGCUCCCAGGUACUAUUUCUCUUCCCAGUCAAUGGGAGUUCUCAUUUCGCUAACAGAGAAAGGCUCAAGAUCAGAUGUGUGUCUUAUUGGCAAUACCUGCAUUUUGAGGAACAGGCUACUGGAUUUCCAACUUUUACAAUCAAACACUUUCUGCUAACUAAAUGCAGAAUUAUUUUUACUUUUGAGUCAAAUACAUCCUUGAGGAAGGCUCAGUGAAGUCAAUACCUUCACACCAUGAAAGAAUUUGGAUCAGAACGUUAUGUUUGUAUCCUGUGACUACACAGGCUGCUCAAAUAGCUGAAAACUUCUAUCCAUUACUGUCAGUUAUCUGGCCAAGAGUUUGUUGGUUUGUUUUGGGGUUUUUUUGGCUUGCAGCCCUUUUAGUCCCCAGCUGAAACAGCUUUUGAUAGAAGGGCCUUAGUUGAUGACUGUUCUGAGAGAACACUGCGACUCCCACAGUUUUUAUUAAAUAUUGGACAUAUAUCUCAAACAAGAUUUAUUUAUGCAGUAUACUGUCUUCCCAAUUACACAAUACAUCAUACAAUGGAAAUUAUGAGAUGUUUCCUUUUCAUAAAAAUAUGCUACAUAAUAUGGUCCUAUGAAUGAAGUGUCAGAAACAGUCUUUCCCUCCGACACACUAGCAGGAAUUGUAAGAAUUUGAGUAACAAAACAUAACAUUGUUUUCCAAGCCAAGCUUGGUGUUCUACUGGAUCCUAAAAAGAGCCUGAAGAAACUUGAGAGUUUCCAAUAAAUGAGUCUGUUGAAUCUGAACUGUAUGUACUGGAGACUGUAAUACUUUCCUAUUCUAUUUAUUUUUGGAAACCAAAUGUAAAGGAUUCCUGAACUAACUUGUACAGGUAACAGGGGACCUGAGAUGUGGAGCUUGUGCACCUUCCACCUACCUCCUUCUAAGAGAAUAACAGAUCUAGACUCACUCUCUCUCGAAUAGCUCCUCUCUGUUCCAUUAAAAUGUUGAGAAACAGAAGAAUUUAACCUGUAAGGAACAUAAGGAACUUUUGGCAUCAUGAGAGACCUUAUGGUCCUUCAAUUCUUCUCUGUCCUUCAGUACCGAAGGAAUAAGAGAAUACUAUAAUUGAUAUUUUCCUCCAUAUUCUCAUGGACCAAGACUAUUUUUCUCAUUUUACAAAUGAGGAACUAAAACUUAAUAGAAUUGCUCAUGGUCAAAACCAAAAACCACAGCAUGGCAAAGACUGGAAAUAAGCUCUCCUGAAUCCCAACUGAAUACUUAAAAUAUCAGCUCACCCUCUUAAAUAAGCGAUUAUAGAUUUUUAAAUAAAUAUUAGUCUUCAGUUUAUCAGUAUUUUCCCCGUAUUGAUCAUCCAGUAGUCUUCCAAAGAACCUGGUAGAUAUGUACUGUCCUUUUGGCAAAGAGGAAAAAGCUGGUAUUAAGACUUGCAGAUUGAUAGGAUCUGUAUCUAUUUAAAUUUAAAAUUCUGAUUUUUCUAGUAGUAUAUUGCAAAUUUGCAGGACUUGUCCUCAUUAGACUUAUAAUAGAUUCCACUCUAACAUGCACUUACAUUUACAUACACAUAUUUGUGUACAAAUAAAAUUUUCUUAUAAGAAGUAGAGGCCACAAAAUAAUAAUUAAAAAUCUUAUAGGGCGUCUGGGAGUAAAGUUGUGUGAAAACUGUUUCAUCAUUUCCUUCCAAACAUUUUUGUCUCAAAGGCAUGAGAUAUUGACACUGUUGGAAACUGGACACUGCGCUGGAUCAACUGCUGUUCUGAUCCAAUGAAGCUAUUUCUACCUUUCUGUGUUUGCAGCUGAGAAUUUCCAUGACCGGAUGACUAUAACACUAUUGAGAUUGUCUCUUGUUUUGUUUUUUUUUUCUCUCCAAGCUAUAUUUUUGUUAUUUUAACAAAGACACCAUAAGACACACAAAGAAAUCAUAGGAAAUUAACUGGAGAGGACAGAAGACAACUAUCAUGCUGGUUUAGUUAAAACUUUAGCUUGGGAUCAGAAACAAGGGGUAGAAGAGCUAAUCUCUCUUUUUCAGCCACUGUAGUUAAGAAUGUGAGCAGCCCACGCCAAAAUGAUUGCAAUGUAUGCCACUAGUACAUCUGAUUUCCAAAACAGAGGAAUACUUUUCUCCCAGAAGGUAUCCUGGUUUGUGCAGACAGUGUCACAGAGUAGGAAAAGCAUUAUCAUAUAUUCAGUGAAAGAAAAAACAACCAGCAACUCAUUCUCAAGAAGUAGUAUGGAACACAAAGCAGCUCACUAAAAUCAAAGCCAAUUAUCUCCUAGGGAUGCAUUUUAGUGGCAUUGAUUGGUAUGUUGUUAUAUUUAACAGUCAAAUAAUAAAUGCAGCUGGAAAUACAGCAGCAAUGGUGUUGGUGAAAGUUGUAACUCUUUUCCAAGAUUUACAUAGUGAUAUUUAGCAUGCAACUAUGUGUACUCCAAUGUAUGUGGUAAACACACCACUUGAAUAAGAACAAAGACUGCAAAAUUUUGAGUAUGUGGAGUAAUUUGAGCUGGGAUCUAUUUCAGAUAAUUAUUCCCUAUCUUGGCCUUAAGCGUGCAAUUGGAUUUAUCCAAAUGGUUUCCUCCAGCUUUUUAUAGCCCCACUGGUCAAGUGCAGGUAUCUGCCACCAGGCACCUGAACACAGGAUGAGGACUUUCUUUGUAUUUGUGACCAUUACAGACAAAACCAAUGCACAACGAGUUUAGGUACUGUACACCAGCAAAUCAUUCCCCUUUCACUGAAGUGUUCUUUCUCAUCAUGACUUCACUUUUCUCCAGGGAAGCUGAGAGAACAAGAACCCAUAGAUCUCAAUGUCAGCUGGUAGGUUUUUUUAGAGCUACCUUUUAGUUUGCACAUACUGAUAAGAAAAUUCAUACUUUCUCUACAAGGUAUUAGCCUAAGUUUGAAGCUGCAUCUGAAAUAUACUAAUGUGUCUUUUCUCCUCAGUUCCUGAAGCAAAUAAGUAAGCAGUAUGAAUUAGAGCAGUUACCGUUCUUUCAGAAUCUGGAUUACAUUUUAUUUCAUAAAUUUGUUUAAUGAUUUUCUUACCUUCCCUCUCUCUCAUUUGUAAUCAUAUAACAUUCUGGGUCAACUACAACAAAUGCUUACAUGGAAAUGAACUAUUAGGAAGUUAUUAGCAUUUGAGGUAAUUUAGCUGACAUUAAUGCAAUUUAGAAACAGAAUAAAAGAAAGCAGCGCCAGUGCUAUGCUACCAGCCAGUUCUCCAGCUCACCCUAAACAAAGCUCUAUGAGCCAGCGUGAUGAUUCCCAGAGCACAGCUGAGUACCUCUGGUUACACGUGCUUGUUGGCAAGCCUGCUGCAUGCAAGAAGUGUGUUUUCUGCAUUGGACUGAAGGCAAUGCAACGGAGCACUCCGACAGAAAGGCAGCAAUGUGCACUGGUAUCUUGGUUUGCCAUCUACCCCAGCAGAAGGAUGUGUAUGAAAAUCUUACAGGCUGCACAGUAGGAACGGAAGUGAUGUUACUUUCUGUCCAUGCAGAAGUUCAGUGCUGGACAGGAACAUGCAGAAGACUCAGAUGGUAAAGAUGAGAUGGUAAAUAUAGGUCAGUAUGCACACAUCCACACAAAGUUGAAUCCUGAGCUUUAACAAGUUUAAUAGCUUAAACAUUACCGUCUCUAUGAACUAUUUGGAGAAAAGCUUCAUGGUAUUUGCUAAUUUCAUUUGGGGGCCUCAUUCUUUCUAUCUUAAGUGAAUAUAUUCAAGUGGACACACCAUACCUUACUGUCACCAUCUUUGAUAAAUUAGCUCUACAGAGAACUGGCUUGAAAACAAGGAAUUUAUGAUCUCUAAAUUCAUUUUUCCCACAGAACUUCCAGGAGUAUUUUGGGGAAGGAAGACACUAUAUUUGAUCAAUUUUUCCUUCUGGUUUCACUCAGAAUUCCAUAGAAACAAUUGAAUUAAUUCACUGCUCCUAUGUUUUUGUCACUCUUUAGGUGCUAAAAGGGAAGUGGGGAUCAGAAUAUAUUAAACCGAUGUGCCUACUAUUCUUUAUUGCCAUUAUGUUACUUAAAUGAGAAACCUACCUGAUUUAUUUUAUGGGCUGUUGUGGAAAAAUAAAGUUUAUCUUUUAAAAGAAUUUUGGUAAUCUGAUUAGUGUAUAGAUUGGAAGUUUUUGGCAAUUGGGCAGGCCAGCAAUGCAAACAAUUGGAAAUUCUGCCAAAUAAAAGAAGGGGAUCAAGGUGCCCUGGCUUGUCCUAGUGGAGUCAGAUGGAUUUGAUAAGCAGUAGUGGAACAAAGGAUGUUAUUGUGCUUGAGAGCAAAUUUUAGUCAAUUCGUUUUAUGUAUGUUGUAGAAAGAUGUUGAUUAAAGACUGAUUAAAGUCAUUAUCUAGCACUACCAUGUACCAUAACCAAAUUCUAGCUGUUUAACUCUGCAAACUAAAGUUUGUGCAAGUGUUCACGUAUUUUCUGAUGUAUGUAAUGGUGAUUCCAGUCACUGAAACUCCUGGUAGACACUGCUAAAGAAGCCACAAAAUCAACUUAGUCCCUGUAGGAACCUGAGUGCACAAGUGGAAAACUGGUGUCACCUAUUCUGCCCCUGAAAAAGGCUCCAGGCAGCAUUGUGAUACACAAGAGUUAGACUUUUCAAAAGUGAAAAAGUGGUUCCUAAAAUAUUUACUCCUUUCUACUGAAGGUAGACUCCACAGUUGUGCAUAAUAAGAGGAAAACUGCAAUGCAAAGAAAGCGACCUCCGUAUUUAUUACGGAGCAAAAACUUACUCUCCUUCCCAUGCAGGCAGGCAUGAAAGGAGGCAAAGGAAGGAGCCAGAGAACCUUUCUGCUUUUGUAAUUUCUUCAUGCAUGAAAGGAAGAGAGGUCGAGUUCUCAUGCCUGCUUUUCUAAAGUCACGCUCUAGCCACAUCCCAUCAGCACACACUGCAUGCAGUCAGUAUUGCUGCUGCAAACUAAGCACCGUAGGAGGUGAGGAGGAGACCAGCUGAGUAGAAGACAAGACAGCAGUACUCAGGAAACAGGUUAGUUUAGAUCAAACGGUCUUACAUCACAGCAGAAAAUGAGCAUUUCCCUGUGUCAUAACCAGACAAGCAGAUUUACCUGGAAGGCCUUUUGGUUUUGAUUUCUUAAUGGCAUCAGCUUUGCUGCAUCUUCAUUAAAUGCUUAUAACACUAUGCUUUACUGGCAAUAUUGGGAAGGGCAGGGGGUUAAUAUCACUACCCACACCCUGCAUUUUACUUUAUUAUUGGCACAGUGGCUAUUUAGAGACAGUAUUGUCACCAACCAUUGUUCUUGGCUCACCAGAACAGUCACGGUUCAAAAUAUAUUCAAUGUGGGACAGAUAUACCUGUCUAUCAUCAGUGCUAUUUUAAAGGAUUACAUGAUUCACUGAGUCUUCAAUCAGGAACCUAUCUGAAGCCUCAACUGCCAUUAACUGAGACUACUCUUCCUAGACUAACCACCAGAUUGCUGCAAAUGGUCAAGAAACACUGGAAGGUGGGGGUGGUCAAUCAGAAGAAACGUGCAGUGAGAUAAGCCUGGACACAUUAAAAAUAGGCCAUAAGCAGGCCAGGCUUGACCUUUGCUAAACAAAGGUAGGGGUUUCUUAAAGCUGUUAAUGAUUUCCUAUCAGGCCUAAGGCAGUUGCAGUCUCUAGGAAUGAGAUGCAGUAGAAUGACAAACCCAGCUCAACUUCUCCACCUUGCAGGGAAAGCCUGCCUCCUGCUCAGGAGGUUACACGGAAAAGAUCUGUAACAUUAACUUUCUGGGCUUCAAGAUUGCCAUGACGACAUAAAGGCAGAUAUUCGAGGACUCAGUUAAGGAAUUACUACUCUAAAUAUAAACAAGGAACUGGAUAGGAAAAAAAUUACUAACAUUUUAAUUAACAAAGCCCACCACUUGAGAAAUUUUUUUGGGGAGGGACUAGACUGUAUAGUAGAAAUAAUGCUGUAGUAAAGAAUCUUGCUUCAGGGAUUAAUGACAGCACUUCCAGAAAGGUCUUUAUCAUUGCAAAAGUUUCCAAGUUUACCAACUAUUAAAGAUUUUUUUCUAUUUUUUUCCUGUAAUUAUGUUAAUAUUUGAUAUUCUACAAGUUGGAGAGUGUUUAGAUUCUAUUUUGUAUCCUCCAGGAAAAAAGGAUUACAUCUGUUUCCCUGAUUACAUGGUCUAUAUAUGCACUGAAUUUUUAUCAUCAAAUCCACUGCAGCAGAGCUAAGGGAAGGGGUUCCUUAAUUCCAUCUGCAUUAGUUUCAUAACUGAUCAAACGAUGUUUUUCUGAAUAUUAAAAAAAUACCUUUAAAAAAUAACAUUAAGUGUAAAUACUGAGAUAUAAUCUAGACAUUUUCUAUUAUAAUACAUGCACUACAACUAUUUGAAACAAAUAGCAUCUGUAUUAUGUUUGUUAAACACUAAGGAUACACAAUUCCUAUUUAAGUAAAAACACUGUAUUAUUACUUAUUCAGAAAACCAUUUGAUAUGGUCAAACAUGAGAACUGGAAGAUGAUUUUACUUAAGUACAUUUGACGUUUAUGGAAAAAAGAGUUAAUUGCUUACUGAUAUUUUAAAUUCUAUGAGAAUUUCCCAUCUAUAAAUAACAUUCACCCGCUCUGAACCAAAGUUUGAUCUUAGCAACAUUCAGAAAGAGUUAAAAUGUUGCUCUUAUUUCAUGCAGUUAUGCUGAUUUUCCACAGGCACUAAUAAGAUGCUACGAUCACAAUCUGUUUGUGUUCCCAUAUGGAAAAUAUAAACUAAUGUUGUGUAUUAAAUGGCAUGCUUACUGAAUUGCUAUGGUACUUAGCUAAGAAAAGUGAAAUCCAUUUUUAAAGGAACUAGUGCUCAUGUACUUGUAAAUAAUACUCAACACCUACUAUUAUUUAAAGUAUGCUAGCUGGAUUUUUUUUCCCUUUAAGCACUCCAGUAUUUGGUUGAUUCAUGCAAAAUCCUCCAUAAACUGUAGCUUUUCCUUCUUUUUAGAACACAGAAAACCAGCAGGAUUUUGAAUUAACUUUGUUCUUGUAUGGAUUGCUGAUAUAAAUUCCAGAUGUUUGAAAGCAGCAAAAAGCAUAAGAAUUUCAACUUAACCUCAUGCACCAAUCUCUUUGAUCACAAUUACUGCUACCAGAUAGAAGUACCUAAUCUGCAGUUUGCAGAAGUUAAAGCACAUUGAGGGCUGCAGGUAGGCCUGCAACACAGUCAGCCUUCCACUGCACACACCAGUGCUUUAUCACCAGAAACUUUUGUUUCCAUCAGUGCUAAGGACUCCUAAUGCAGACUGUUGAGGGAUGACAUCAAGUGUUUCUAUGGAAAAUACAAAUAGUCCAAUUUAGUUGCAUUUUUUUAUUAUUACUUAAUGAUCAGAGCAUAAGCUAGAAAGGGAAGUGACGUUUUUGGUGUAUUUCAAACAGAAAAGAGAAGUAUUUGGGGGCCUUUGGUAUGGGUUUGCCCUAUCUUGACUGAUGCAGCUUAAAAGCAAAGCAUUAUUGUAACGUUGAAACCAAAAGAUUCCAUUCAGAGCACCAGCAAUGUCUCAAGAGCCUUCGCCAUGGGCACAAAGAAUUCUUGCCAGAGAAUGCAUGUUAUUCAAAUGGAAAUGCUAAACUAUAUUAUCAACAGGUUGUAAUCUAAUAUCUAUUAAUUAUGCAUUGUUUUCGUUCACACCUACUACACUAUUUGUUCAUU
Molecule: long non-coding RNA, 12043 nt
Organism: Columba livia (rock pigeon)
Lineage: Eukaryota; Metazoa; Chordata; Aves; Columbiformes; Columbidae
Exons: 4
Source: RefSeq, a predicted model, not a curated record